RNAcentral lists this ribosomal RNA (432 nucleotides) under uncultured bacterium. RNAcentral's name for it is "partial 16S ribosomal RNA". It matches the Rfam family "Bacterial small subunit ribosomal RNA", at positions 29 to 506 of the family's 1533-position model. The record is from RNAcentral.
AACGAACGCUGGCGGCAUGCCUAACACAUGCAAGUCGAACGAGACCUUCGGGUCUAGUGGCGCACGGGUGCGUAACGCGUGGGAACCUGCCCUUAGGUUCGGAAUAACUCCCCGAAAGGGGUGCUAAUACCGGAUAAUGUCUUCGGACCAAAGAUUUAUCGCCUUUGGAUGGGCCCGCGUUGGAUUAGCUAGUUGGUAGGGUAAAAGCCUACCAAGGCGACGAUCCAUAGCUGGUCUGAGAGGAUGAUCAGCCACACUGGGACUGAGACACGGCCCAGACUCCUACGGGAGGCAGCAGUGGGGAAUAUUGGACAAUGGGCGAAAGCCUGAUCCAGCAUUGCCGCGUGAGUGAUGAAGGCCUUAGGUUUGUAAAGCUCUUUUACCCGGGAUGAUAAUGACAGUACCGGGAGAAUAAGCUCCGGCUAACUCCGU